Molecule: long non-coding RNA, 2252 nt
Filed under: Phoenix dactylifera (date palm)
Lineage: Eukaryota; Viridiplantae; Streptophyta; Magnoliopsida; Arecales; Arecaceae
Description: long non-coding RNA (PDAC_LNC008866)
Source: RNAcentral
CUUCAGUUACAAAAUCUUCAAAUAUUUCUCGGUAUCAGAAUACAAACUAACUCAUAACUUUAAUACUCGGACUCUAUGUCCAACCCAUCAGAAACUACGCAGCCUGCGACUCUGAAAGAGAAGAGGUGGUGUGAGUUUUACAACAAAUAAGAAUCCCACACACUCACACCAAUAUAAAUAUAAUAAAUUUAAAAUAAAUAUUAACUACAAACCUCAUCAAAAUGCAGACAAAAUCAUAAAGCCUUAUACCAAUUAUUCAACAUAGCUCGAUAAAAUCUAUAUAAAUAUGCAUCCAUAGAUGUAUAUCGUCAAACAUAUAUCCCGUUCCAGAAAAUACUAAAGAUAUUAUCAUGCAGUGGUUUUAUACUUUCAAUCUUCUAUUUUUAUCCAGAUUUUCCAUCAACCAAUUAUCUUUUUGAUUUGGACUAUUCAUGGUCAUGCUUCGGCCCGUGACUAGCAAACCAAAAUAUCCACACUUCGGCCUGUGGUGGCAAACCAAAAUAUCCAUGCUUCGGCCUAUAGUGACAAACCAAGAUAACAGCACUUCGGUUCACAGUGGCAAACUAAGAGAACUGCAUUUCGGCCUGCAGUGGCAAAACAGAAUAUCCGCACUUCGGCUUGCAGUGGCAAACUAGAAUAUCCGUGCUUCAGCUCGCCGUGGCAAUCCAAGAUAAAUACGCUUUGGCCCACAAUGGCAAACCAAUGUGUCACGAUUCAGCUCAUGAGAGGCAAUCCAUAAUAUGUCUAAUCCAAAUUCUUUUGUUUAUUAAUAAAAUUAUUCAAUUUCAUCCAUACCAAAAAAAGUAUAAUUGUAUAUUAUAUUUUAUGCCUAAAUUCCAAAAUAAUCAGCAUUAUAUUCCAACAACCAAAACCAUAAUUCAAGCAGCCAUAAUCAUCGAUAUUUGAUAUCUCCUUAUAUUAACGAAAUAUAUAUGUUAGAAAUCAUUAAGCAAUCACACCAAAACGAUGCAAACCCUAAAACCAUCAACAUAUAUUACAAUAUAUAUUAUUUAUAAAGGUGAUUGUGCACAGGACUUCUUACCUCUAUCGAUGAUCGACUAAAUACAACGAUCUAUGAGUGAGGUGCAGAGUAGCACCCCAAUCAAUUGGCGCAGAUGACUCUCCCUCUAAAGGUUCGAACUCAAUGAUCAAAAAAAAUCAAACAGCGACCACCAGGGGUCCAUCACAAGAUCUGUCGAGUCCUUACUACCACCUAGCCGGGUCAACUAGAGAGAGACACCAUGAGAGAAAAAAAAGUAAGAAGGAAAAGAGAGAAAUUAGAGAGAAAUAGAGAGAGGAGAGAAAGAGAGAGAAAAGAGAGAAGAGGGGAGAAGAGAGAGGUAAGAGAGAGAAACCUCUCUCUUCUCCCUCUCUUCAUGAACAGCGAAGUCAUCUUCUCCUUCUCUUUUUCCUUUUCCCCAUUUCCCCCCAUAGAUCUAAUGGCGUGCAGCCAAGGUGGCCCAGCCCCCACUCGAUGGAAGCCAUAUGUGGCCACAGACCCGGCCAAACUCGGCGGCCGGUGGCAGUGGAAUCGCAGAAGAAGAAGAUGAAAACAGGGCACCCUCGUUUCAGACGAUUUUUUGGCGAUUCGCCAACUCAAAUCGAAGUGAAUCACGACUAAAAGACUUGGAGAAGAAAAGAAGAGGAAUGGAUUUGGUCAUACCUCAAUCCGACGAAGAUCCGACGACUCUUUCUGGUGAAAAUCAGAGGAGAAAACUCGGAAUAAAAAAAAUUUGGGAUCGGCGGCUUGUUUUGAGGGAUUUGCGAUGGUUCAACGGAGGAGAAGAAGCCCUUUUGUAGAUGAAAUCCCCCAUGUCCUCAUCGGAGUCCAACACCUUUCGAGUCCCGGUUUCCUUGCCGGACUUGGGGAGGAAGAAGACUCUCAUUGGGAGUCUUCCUCCCGGACUCACAUGCCAGGCGCACAUUGUGGCCCAAAUGGCCAGCCCUAUCCUCUCCCAGGCCGGCCCAGGCCCAUUUUAAAACAGGUCCUUACGGGUUGUGUCAAGAUUUCAGCGCAUGGAAUUGAAAUUAAAUUCUGUUCUUGGUUACCCUGCAUCCAGUUAAGUUUCAUCUUGAUAUUUUAAACACAUUUUACUCAAGAACACUUAUUGACAAUAUAUUUGUUUAAUGGGCAUUGUGCACAGCAUCUAUGAUUUUGCCUCAUUUGUCCCUCUAAUAUUUAGAAACAUAGUUUUCUAGAAAUUGUAGCAUUGUGGAUUUUUUACAUUUCCUUUAAAAGUUGUGUCGAACAA